AUUGAACGCUGGCGGCAGGCCUAACACAUGCAAGUCGAGCGGAUGAAGGGAGCUUGCUCCUGGAUUCAGCGGCGGACGGGUGAGUAAUGCCUAUGAAUCUGCUUGGUAGUGGGGGAUAACGUCCGGAAACGGGCGCUAAUACCGCAUACUUCCUGAUGGAGCUAGUUGGGGAUCUUCGGACCUCACGCUAUCAUAUGAGCCUAGGUCGGAUUAGCUAGUUGGUGGGGUAAAGGCCUACCAAGGCGACGAUUCGUAACUGGUCUGAGAGGAUGAUUAGUCACACUGGAACUGAGACACGGUCAAGACGCCUAAGGGAGGCAGCAGUGGGGAAUAUUGGGCAAUGGGCGAAAGCAUGAUCCAGCCAUGCCGCGUGUGUGAAGAAGGUCUUCGGAUUGUAAAGCACGUUAAGUUGGGAGGAAGGGCAGUAAGUUAAUACCUUGCUGUUUUGACGUUACCAACAGAAUAAGCACCGGCUAACUUCGUG
This 484-nucleotide ribosomal RNA is filed under the name uncultured bacterium. RNAcentral describes it as "partial 16S ribosomal RNA". It matches the Rfam family "Bacterial small subunit ribosomal RNA", at positions 30 to 507 of the family's 1533-position model. The record is from RNAcentral.